This 765-nucleotide long non-coding RNA is filed under the name Mytilus galloprovincialis (Mediterranean mussel). Lineage: Eukaryota; Metazoa; Mollusca; Bivalvia; Mytilida; Mytilidae. The record is from RNAcentral.
GGCCGAAUCGCAAUUUUAGAUCUAUCAUUAUCAUUUAUGCUUUGCGAUAAACCUCCACAUUAUAUAUGCACUUUAUAAUGUAAAAACAAUUGAUUGAUUGUGUUGAAUACCACUUUAGCACUUUUGCUCAAUCUAGGCUAUUCAUUUUUAUUGGUGGACGCGGGUAUAAAGGAACUAUGUAUUGAGAGGUUACAAACUAUAAGGUUAAGGGAGGGACGGGGAAGGGGUGAGCGAGAAUGAUAUUUCAGAAAAAGACAGGACGAGUUUUGGGUAAAAAAAGUCAGUAUGAGCAACUUUGCCAAACAAAAAGGCUGAAUAACAAUUCAUGUAAAAAAAAGUCAGGAUAACUUAUAAAAAAAGGACCGAAUAGAGUUAACAAUUAAAAUGAAGAACUGAUUACAAAAAGAAAAAUGCAACACAUACUUUUUCUUGGGUACUUGAUGUCGCAGCUGCUUAACCUUACCACAAGUGGAUCGCAAGUGCAAAUAUUAUUAGUCGCUCAUUCUAGAGAGGGGAAUGGUAUCCCCCAUUGGUAAUGCUGGUUUGUCAUUUUGAAUAUUCCAAAUAAUUUAGAAAAGUGGGUAGAACAUUUUACCAAAAAAGUUAUAAAGAGAAAGAAAUUACUCCAGACGGGAUGAAAAGGAAUUUUCUGUCCUUCCAAUGCAGGAUAUCAUUCGGAACAAAAUAAAACGUUAGCAAGCCAGUCAUAAGGCUGGCUGGUGAAAAUGAAUAUUCAGAAUUAAAAAAAUCAGCCGUCAAAAAUAC